This 278-nucleotide unclassified non-coding RNA is filed under the name uncultured bacterium. RNAcentral's name for it is "contains 16S-23S intergenic spacer region". The record is from RNAcentral.
UCCGAUUUGUCACCGGCAGUCUCCUAUGAGUCCCCGUCUUUCACGCUGGCAACAUAGGACAGGGGUUCCUACUGCGACCAUGUCAAGCCUAGGUGAGGUUCUUCGCGUUGCAUCGAAUUAAACCACACGCUCCGCUGCUUGUGCGGGCCCCCGUCAAUUCCUUUGAGUUUUAGCCUUGCGGCCGUACUCCCCAGGCAGGGCACUUAGUGCGUUAGCUGCGGCACCGGAGGGGUCGAUACCCCCGACACCUAGUGCCCACCGUUUACGGCGUGGACUAC